RNAcentral lists this ribosomal RNA (492 nucleotides) under uncultured bacterium. RNAcentral's name for it is "partial 16S ribosomal RNA". It matches the Rfam family "Bacterial small subunit ribosomal RNA", at positions 29 to 507 of the family's 1533-position model. The record is from RNAcentral.
AGUGAACGCUGGCGGUAGGCCUAACACAUGCAAGUCGAACGGCAGCACAGUAAGAGCUUGCUCUUACGGGUGGCGAGUGGCGGACGGGUGAGGAAUACAUCGGAAUCUACUUUUUCGUGGGGGAUAACGUAGGGAAACUUACGCUAAUACCGCAUACGACCUACGGGUGAAAGCAGGGGAUAUUCGGACUUUGCGCGAUUGAAUGAGCCGAUGUCGGAUUAGCUAGUGGGCGGGGUAAAGGACCACCAAGGCGACGAUCCGUAGCGGGUCUGAGAGGAUGAUCUGCCCCACUGGAACUGAGACACGGUCCCGACUCCUACGGGAGGCAGCAGUUGGGAAUAUUGGACAAUGGGCGCAAGCCUGAUCCAGCCAUACCGCGUGGGUGAAGAAGGCCUUCGGUUUGUAAAGCCCUUUUGUUGGGAAAGAAAAGCAGCAGGUCAAUACCCCGCUGUUCUGACGGUACCCAAAGAAUAAGCACCGGCUAACUUCGUG